Molecule: long non-coding RNA, 453 nt
Organism: Bolinopsis microptera
Lineage: Eukaryota; Metazoa; Ctenophora; Tentaculata; Lobata; Bolinopsidae
Exons: 3
Source: RefSeq, a predicted model, not a curated record
CACGUUAGCAGCUUAUCUUGGCACCAUCCAACUGACUACUUCCGAUACUAUUUCGGCAGAUUGUACUGCAGCGUUAAAAGCUAAUUCUGCACUUGACGGACGUUUCCUUACCAUAUUUACCGAUCAGGCAACUGUUCUACCAGCCAAAAUCACAUGGAUGUUCCCGUCCACUUACGACCCUGUAAAAGCGCCGUUUGAAAGGAGUAAUGUCGUGAUUGUGGACAAUUACAAUAGCGAAGGUUUAACUUCCUAUGUUUUGGAUAAGAGAACGAACACCGGCAACGCCGCCGCAAAAAAAGCUUAUAGCUUCGAUACCAAUACGUGCAUCAACAUUGCCAACUACCAAUAUGCAUCCGAUGCCUCAUCGGGAGAUGAAAAGUGCCCUGCUGAUAGGAGUGGGAUAAACACUAUUGAUUGUUUAAUGCCGGCCCAUGCAGACCCUGUAACAGAGGA